GAACGCACCUUGCGCCCAUUGGUAUUCCGAUGGGCAUGCCUGUUCGAGUGUCUUGAAUUCAUCGCCGCCUCCGGUUUCGCGACCGGCUGGCGGCGGACUUGGGGGCCUGCCGCGGCGACGCGGCUCCCCUUGAAUGGAUCGGUGGGGUCUCCGAGCACCCACGGGCGUUGUAUUGUCCUCGUCCGACCGGGCCUCGCGUCCCCCGCCUCGACUGCCGUAUGAGCGGCGGUCAAGCACACUUUGAAAUCUGACCUCGAAUCAGGUAGGACUACCCGCUGAACUUA
This 284-nucleotide unclassified non-coding RNA is filed under the name uncultured fungus. Its description in RNAcentral is "sequence contains 5.8S rRNA gene". The stretch from base 1 to 53 matches the Rfam family "5.8S ribosomal RNA", at positions 102 to 154 of the family's 154-position model. The record is from RNAcentral. Lineage: Eukaryota; Fungi.